GGGACUGGUAGGGGUCUUCGCCUUCAGCUACUAUGCAAAGUACAUUGCUGCCAUGCCCAUGCACCCCAGCAUUUACGGAUUCGCGCUAUCAGUGCUAGCCAUGAUAUUUGUGAGUCUGAUCACCAAGAAGCCAUCUGAGAAGGUGCUGGAGGAGACGAAUACUGGAUUGUACAUCCGCAAGCUUAAGCCUGCUCUCAUGGGCAGGCUAAGCGAUAAGAUCUAAUAUCACGAAGGGAUAGUGAACUCGGACAAGGGCCCGUGGUCUAGCUGGUUAUGACAUCGCCCUUACACGGCGGGGAUCACGCGUUCAAAUCGCGUCGGGCCCA
This 326-nucleotide transfer RNA is filed under the name Methanosaeta sp. PtaB.Bin018. RNAcentral's name for it is "transfer-messenger RNA, SsrA". The stretch from base 253 to 326 matches the Rfam family "tRNA". The record is from RNAcentral. Lineage: Archaea; Methanobacteriati; Methanobacteriota; Methanomicrobia; Methanotrichales; Methanotrichaceae.